AUGGAGAUGAUUAUUAUUUCCCAAAUGAUCGAUGCUGAAUAAACUAAGCGAUCUUCUCUUUGGAGAUUGCAAGCCACAAAUCUGAUCCAU
This is a non-coding RNA of Populus trichocarpa (black cottonwood), 90 nucleotides long. Lineage: Eukaryota; Viridiplantae; Streptophyta; Magnoliopsida; Malpighiales; Salicaceae. The record is from Rfam.